UACGUAGGGUGCGAGCGUUGUCCGGAAUUAUUGGGCGUAAAGAGCUUGUAGGCGGUUUGUCGCGUCUGCCGUGAAAAUCCGGGGCUCAACCCCGGACUUGCGGUGGGUACGGGCAGACUAGAGUGUGGUAGGGGAGACUGGAAUUCCUGGUGUAGCGGUGAAAUGCGCAGAUAUCAGGAGGAACACCAAUGGCGAAGGCAGCUCGCUGGGACGGUACUGACGCUGAGGCGCGAAAGCCAGGGGAGCAAACGGG
Molecule: ribosomal RNA, 253 nt
Filed under: uncultured bacterium
Lineage: Bacteria
Description: partial 16S ribosomal RNA
Rfam family: Bacterial small subunit ribosomal RNA
Source: RNAcentral